UGGGGAAUAUUGCACAAUGGGCGCAAGCCUGAUGCAGCCAUGCCGCGUGUAUGAAGAAGGCCUUCGGGUUGUAAAGUACUUUCAGCGAGGAGGAAGGCGGUAAGGUUAAUAACCUUAUCGAUUGACGUUACUCGCAGAAGAAGCACCGGCUAACUCCGUGCCAGCAGCCGCGGUAAUACGGAGGGUGCAAGCGUUAAACGGAAUUACUGGGCGUAAAGCGCACGCAGGCGGUCUGUCAAGUCGGAUGUGAAAUCCCCGGGCUCAACCUGGGAACUGCAUUCGAAACUGGCAGGCUAGAGUCUUGUAGAGGGGGGUAGAAUUCCAGGUGUAGCGGUGAAAUGCGUAGAGAUCUGGAGGAAUACCGGUGGCGAAGGCGGCCCCCUGGACAAAGACUGACGCUCAGGUGCGAAAGCGUGGGGAGCAAACA
This 427-nucleotide ribosomal RNA is filed under the name uncultured bacterium. RNAcentral's name for it is "partial 16S ribosomal RNA". It matches the Rfam family "Bacterial small subunit ribosomal RNA", at positions 355 to 774 of the family's 1533-position model. The record is from RNAcentral.